CGGGGGAGGCGGGAUCCUGGGGUGUGUCCCGGUGCCCUGUGCUCCGGAGCCUGCGCUGUUGGAUUCGCGCUCCCGGGCCGCGCAACCCCCC
Molecule: microRNA precursor, 91 nt
Filed under: Canis lupus familiaris (dog)
Lineage: Eukaryota; Metazoa; Chordata; Mammalia; Carnivora; Canidae
Description: mir-8799 microRNA precursor family
Rfam family: mir-8799 microRNA precursor family
Source: Rfam by way of RNAcentral